CGCCUCGCCCCCUCCCCCUUCCGGGUACCUGGAAACGUCGGGCCUGGGAGCCAAUUCCUGCCGGGGACGCGGGCCCGGGCGGCCGCGGGAAGCCAAGGAUACAGCAUUACAUUUAGUCUUCAUGUCUCCGUAGGCUCCUCUUGGCUGUGACAUUUCUCAUACUUUUCCUCAUUUUUGAUGGCCUCGACAAUGUUGAGAAGUACUGUGACUCUUCUAAAGGAGUGAAAAAUUACAAACUCAGCUGAGGCGUAACUGAGAAUACGUUAUAAAGAGAGGAAAGCAGACAAUAUUGCCAGUGAGGAAUACCACAUGUUUUAACGAUAGCACCGAAAUUUUAAAAGGAAAAGCAAGAGGUGGAUUAAAAUUUGUACAGAAGACUGGUAUCCUUAUAAGAAGAGGAGGAGACACCAGGAGUGCCAAUGCACAGAGAAAAGGCCAUGUGAAGACAUAGCAAGAAGGCAGCCAUCUGAAAGCCGAGGAGAGAGGACUUACCAGAAACCAACCCUGCUGGCACCUUGAUCUUGGACUUCCAGCCUCCAGAGCUAUGAGAAAAUAAAUUUCUGCUGUGUAAGCCACCCAGUCUGUGGUAUUUUGUUAUGGCAGCCCUGGUAGACUAAUACGGUGUCUGUUGGCAUUUUGGAUCUUUCAAAGUACUUACUCUAACGCUACAGGAUCACUAGUACUUGUUCUGUUUUAUAAGUGUGCACACGUAAUAGUUUAAUCAUGUUACAUGGGUCUCUGUUUUCCAGCUUCUGAUGUCUAUUUUAUGCCACCUCUUACCUGAUUGCUAAGCCAUUGCUCUGUAUUUUAGUUUUU
Long non-coding RNA from Hippopotamus amphibius kiboko, 816 nucleotides. RefSeq lists it as uncharacterized. Lineage: Eukaryota; Metazoa; Chordata; Mammalia; Artiodactyla; Hippopotamidae. The transcript has 4 exons. The record is from RefSeq and is a predicted model, not a curated record.